UACGGAGGGUGCAAGCGUUGUCCGGAUUUAUUGGGUUUAAAGGGUGCGUAGGUGGCUGUUUAAGUCAGUGGUGAAAGCCUGCAGCUUAACUGUAGGACUGCCAUUGAUACUGAAUAGCUUGAGUACUGAUGAGGUAGGCGGAAUUGAUAGUGUAGCGGUGAAAUGCAUAGAUAUUAUCAAGAACACCGAUUGCGAAGGCAGCUUACUAAGGAGUUACUGACACUGAGGCACGAAAGCGUGGGGAUCAAACAGG
RNAcentral lists this ribosomal RNA (253 nucleotides) under uncultured bacterium. RNAcentral describes it as "partial 16S ribosomal RNA". It matches the Rfam family "Bacterial small subunit ribosomal RNA", at positions 524 to 776 of the family's 1533-position model. The record is from RNAcentral.